UUAACACAUGCAAGUCGAACGCCCCGCAAGGGGAGUGGCAGACGGGUGAGUAACGCGUGGGAAUCUACCUAGUUCUACGGAACAACAGUUGGAAACGACUGCUAAUACCAUAUACGCCCUAUGGGGGAAAGAUUUAUCGGAAUUAGAUGAGCCCGCGUAAGAUUAGCUAGUUGGUGGGGUAAUGGCCUACCAAGGCGACGAUCUUUAGCUGGUCUGAGAGGAUGAUCAGCCACACUGGGACUGAGACACGGCCCAGACUCCUACGGGAGGCAGCAGUGGGGAAUAUUGGACAAUGGGCGCAAGCCUGAUCCAGCCAUGCCGCGUGAGUGAUGAAGGCCUUAGGGUUGUAAAGCUCUUUCAGUGGGGAAGAUAAUGACGGUACCCACAGAAGAAGCCCCGGCUAACUUCGUGCCAGCAGCCGCGGUAAUACGAAGGGGGCUAGCGUUGUUCGGAUUUACUGGGCGUAAAGCGCACGUAGGCGGAUUGUUAAGUCAGGGGUGAAAUCCUGGAGCUCAACUCCAGAACUGCCUUUGAUACUGGCAAUCUCGAGUCCGGAAGAGGUAAGUAGAACUCCUAGUGUAGAGGUGGAAUUCGUAGAUAUUAGGAAGAACACCAGUGGCGAAGGCGGCUUACUGGUCCGGAACUGACGCUGAGGUGCGAA
Molecule: ribosomal RNA, 661 nt
Filed under: uncultured Alphaproteobacteria bacterium
Lineage: Bacteria; Pseudomonadati; Pseudomonadota; Alphaproteobacteria
Description: bacterial SSU rRNA
Rfam family: Bacterial small subunit ribosomal RNA
Source: RNAcentral